UACAGAGGGUGCAAGCGUUGUUCGGAAUUAUUGGGCGUAAAGGGCGCGUAGGCGGUGCGGUAAGUCUGUAGUGAAAUCUCUGGGCUCAACUCAGAGUCUGCUAUAGAAACUGCCGUGCUUGAGUGUGGGAGAGGUGAGUGGAAUUCCCGGUGUAGCGGUGAAAUGCGUAGAUAGUCGGAGGAACACCUGUGGCGAAAGCGGCUCACUGGACCACAACUGACGCUGAGGCGCGAAAGCUAGGGGAGCAAACAGG
RNAcentral lists this ribosomal RNA (253 nucleotides) under uncultured bacterium. RNAcentral describes it as "partial 16S ribosomal RNA". It matches the Rfam family "Bacterial small subunit ribosomal RNA", at positions 524 to 776 of the family's 1533-position model. The record is from RNAcentral.